RNAcentral lists this unclassified non-coding RNA (501 nucleotides) under Hevea brasiliensis (rubber tree). Lineage: Eukaryota; Viridiplantae; Streptophyta; Magnoliopsida; Malpighiales; Euphorbiaceae. The record is from RNAcentral.
GCACGUCCACACCUCACCAGAUCCACCACUCCAUCAAACACCGGCAAACGCUGCUGUAAUGGCAUGUGAAGUGGCACCAAACCUCUCAAUGCCACCACUUCAUUAUUAGGUGCAUUGAAAUUCAUNNNNNGUGAUUACAGUCACAUUGUACUGCUUCAUUCUUGCUGCAAAAGUACCAGUGCUGCCGCCAAUAUCAAUGCCAAGUCUGAUCACAGAAUUAGCUGAUUUUGCUACUUGUAAAAGCUGUGGAAUUGGGAGAUCUAGCUCUGUUUUAUAAGUUAUAAACCUUGACAUCUCAGCGCCUAUAUCAAAAUCAAGAUUCGGGCUUUGUUUAGCGAGACAAUAAAAGGAUUUGCAAGAAUAUUGAGCCCAUAUUAUGUUGGACUCGAGAAAUGAGGAAGGGAAAGGAUUUCGUGGGAGAGAAGAAGGGGCUUUUGAUGGGGUUUUGGAGAAGCACCGGCGGCGGGGAAGUGGGUGGCAGCCACGGAGGAUUAAAGACUC